AAGUUACGCGCCUUUGAAGUUGGAGGUGGGAGAGUGAGAGACGGCUGAGAAAACGACUGUCUGCUUCUCUGCUGUCUUUCACCUCCAACUUCCAAGGUGCGUAACUC
Molecule: small RNA, 107 nt
Filed under: Caenorhabditis brenneri
Lineage: Eukaryota; Metazoa; Nematoda; Chromadorea; Rhabditida; Rhabditidae
Description: sRNA CBN34354
Source: RNAcentral